This 337-nucleotide unclassified non-coding RNA is filed under the name Athalia rosae (coleseed sawfly). RNAcentral's name for it is "misc RNA ENSAEAG00005003482.1". The record is from RNAcentral. Lineage: Eukaryota; Metazoa; Arthropoda; Insecta; Hymenoptera; Athaliidae.
CUGACUGUUUCGGCGUAUCGGCGUUUCCUACCUUAUUUCCAACAAGUUCCCAACUACAUAAGCGCAGAUAUACAUCAUCGGCGUAAUCCGAGUAAUGGGUGAUUUAUAUUUCUCAUAGGAAUUCGGGAUAGACAUAAGUUCAUCAAUAUUCUAUAUGCGCUAAACUAGAGUGCCAAAAGCGAUGAUCCUCAUGACUGUCAGAGAUGAAUUGUUUGUAAUAAUUUAUUUCAACUUGGUACGAAUAUGCCAUACAAUUUUCACCAAGAAUAUUGAUCUAGCAAUUAUGACACAAUUAAUUUGCGGUAUUUUUAGGAAGAAUGAUCUUCUCGAUCAUCAU